GACAGAGGGUGCAAACGUUGUUCGGAAUUACUGGGCGUAAAGCGUGUGUAGGCGGCUACGUAAGUCGGAUGUGAAAGCCCCAGGCUCAACCUGGGAAGUGCACUCGAUACUGCGUAGCUUGAGUAUCGGAGAGGUUGGUGGAAUUCUCGGUGUAGAGGUGAAAUUCGUAGAUAUCGAGAGGAACACCGGUGGGCGAAGGCGGCCAACUGGACGAAUACUGACGUGGAGACACGAAAGCGUCGGGGAGCAAACAGG
RNAcentral lists this ribosomal RNA (255 nucleotides) under uncultured bacterium. Its description in RNAcentral is "partial 16S ribosomal RNA". It matches the Rfam family "Bacterial small subunit ribosomal RNA", at positions 524 to 776 of the family's 1533-position model. The record is from RNAcentral.